GCUGAGUCUGUGACUCGCCAUUCGACUCAGGCCUAGUCUGAGUUUGUCCAAACGGUGGUCCGAGUCUCAGCAACCUCUGGAUUUUCAGAGUAGAGAGGAGGUGCAGAGAGGGUGGAAGUAGCUGUUUUUACCUAGUCGCAUGUAACCAAGUCAAGCUUCGAGUCAACUCGCUGGCGUGACUCGCUCUAGCCCUUAAGUCACCACCCAACCUCUGGCUUGGAUCGGUACAGCUCUAGACCUUUAGAGGGAAGAAAGAGAAGAGGGAGAAGAAAUAGAGGUUGGGAGAAAGGAGGGAGAUCAUCUCGAGUUGACACACCAAGUGGGCUAAGUUGUCAACUCGGUAAAAUCAUUCAUUUCCUCAUAUUAGAAUUUACCUCUUUCAAUCAACGAAAUGAUCGUCUUGUUUGAGGUCAUCUCGAAGUGGUGAGGAUAAAGUGGACAUUUAGUGCUCCUUAUUGAUCUCUAAUCAAGCAAGGAAUGAAUCCAUAUCUUAAGGUGAGGAUCACCCUUCAACCUUUUCUACAUCUCGAUAAUUAGUUUGCUCAUUCAACUUUGUUCAUUUACUUUAUCGAUUGCUUAAUGUGGUUCAUUGCUCUUAUUGAUCUUGAUUCCUUAUGAUGAAUGAUAAAUUGGAUUUAAAUUCAAUAUUUGAAUAUGCGGUAAGAUCUAAAUACCUCGAUUCUAAUUUGAAAUGAAUGCUUUAGAUAUACAUAUGCUAUAUCGAUAUUAUAUAUAAUUUAAUUUGUCAUUCAUGAUCUCUUGAUGGAAUGAUUGGAGGUCCUAGAACUAGUGGCCACUUUGUCUAAUAAAUUAAAUGAAACAUUUUAUGUGGACUUAUCAUCUUAUGAAACAUUUGUUGCCUAAGUGACUUUUGGGAUAAUCCCUUUUAUCACAUCCUUGGAAUGAAUUGUUUGUCAUAUGCGGCUAGUUGAAAUAUUUGCCCUAUAUGGCUUUAAGGAA
Molecule: long non-coding RNA, 960 nt
Organism: Magnolia sinica
Lineage: Eukaryota; Viridiplantae; Streptophyta; Magnoliopsida; Magnoliales; Magnoliaceae
Exons: 3
Source: RefSeq, a predicted model, not a curated record